CAGCAGUGGGGAAUAUUGCACAAUGGGCGCAAGCCUGAUGCAGCCAUGCCGCGUGUAUGAAGAAGGCCUUCGGGUUGUAAAGUACUUUCAGCAGUGAGGAAGGAGGUAUCGUUAAUAGCGGUAUCUUUUGACGUUAGCUGCAGAAGAAGCACCGGCUAACUCCGUGCCAGCAGCCGCGGUAAUACGGAGGGUGCGAGCGUUAAUCGGAAUUACUGGGCGUAAAGCGCAUGCAGGUGGUUUGUUAAGUCAGAUGUGAAAGCCCGGGGCUCAACCUCGGAAUUGCAUUUGAAACUGGCAGGCUAGAGUACUGUAGAGGGGGGUAGAAUUUCAGGUGUAGCGGUGAAAUGCGUAGAGAUCUGAAGGAAUACCGGUGGCGAAGGCGGCCCCCUGGACAGAUACUGACACUCAGAUGCGAAAGCGUGGGGAGCAAACAGGAUUAGAUACCCUGGUAGUCCACGCCGUAAACGAUGUCUACUUGGAGGUUGUGGCCUUGAGCCGUGGCUUUCGGAGCUAACGCGUUAAGUAGACCGCCUGGGGAGUACGGUCGCAAGAUUAAAACUCAAAUGAAUUGACGGGGGCCCGCACAAGCGGUGGAGCAUGUGGUUUAAUUCGAUGCAACGCGAAGAACCUUACCUACUCUUGACAUCCAGAGAACUUAGCAGAGAUGCUUUGGUGCCUUCGGGAACU
This 687-nucleotide ribosomal RNA is filed under the name Vibrio fluvialis. RNAcentral's name for it is "bacterial SSU rRNA". It matches the Rfam family "Bacterial small subunit ribosomal RNA", at positions 349 to 1028 of the family's 1533-position model. Lineage: Bacteria; Pseudomonadati; Pseudomonadota; Gammaproteobacteria; Vibrionales; Vibrionaceae. The record is from RNAcentral.